Molecule: transfer RNA, 70 nt
Filed under: Australolacerta australis
Lineage: Eukaryota; Metazoa; Chordata; Lepidosauria; Squamata; Lacertidae
Description: tRNA-Asp
Source: RNAcentral
GGGGCCCUAGUAAAUAAAUUACAUAGUUCUGUCAGCACUAAAUUAUAGGCCUCAUAGCCUAUGAGCCUCA